Molecule: ribosomal RNA, 468 nt
Filed under: uncultured bacterium
Lineage: Bacteria
Description: partial 16S ribosomal RNA
Rfam family: Bacterial small subunit ribosomal RNA
Source: RNAcentral
GACGAACGCUGGCGGCGUGCUUAACACAUGCAAGUCGAACGGAAAGGCCCUGCUUUUGUGGGGUGCUCGAGUGGCGAACGGGUGAGUAACACGUGAGUAACCUGCCCUUGACUUUGGGAUAACUUCAGGAAACUGGGGCUAAUACCGGAUAGGAGCUCCUGCUGCAUGGUGGGGGUUGGAAAGUUUCGGCGGUUGGGGAUGGACUCGCGGCUUAUCAGCUUGUUGGUGGGGUAGUGGCUUACCAAGGCUUUGACGGGUAGCCGGCCUGAGAGGGUGAACGGCGACAAGGGGCCUGAGAGACGGACCAGACUCCUACGGGAGGCAGCAGUGGGGAAUAUUGCACAAUGGGCGGAAGCGUGAUGCAGCAACGCCGCGUGCGGGAUGACGGCCUUCGGGUUGUAAACCGCUUUCGCCUGUGACGAAGCGUGAGUGACGGUAAUGGGUAAAGAAGCACCGGCUAACUACGUG